CCUACGGGGUGCUGCAGUGGGGAAUAUUGGACAAUGGGCGAAAGCCUGAUCCAGCCAUGCCGCGUGUGUGAAGAAGGCCUUCGGGUUGUAAAGCACUUUCAGUGGGGAAGAAAGCCUUGGGGCUAAUACCCUCGAGGAAGGACAUCACCCACAGAAGAAGCACCGGCUAACUCCGUGCCAGCAGCCGCGGUAAUACGGAGGGUGCGAGCGAUAAUCGGAAUUACUGGGCGUAAAGCGCGCGUAGGCGGUCUGAUAAGCCGGUUGUGAAAGCCCCGGGCUCAACCUGGGAACGGCAUCCGGAACUGUCAGGCUAGAGUGCAGGAGAGGAAGGUAGAAUUCCCGGUGUAGCGGUGAAAUGCGGAGAGAUCGGGAGGAAUACCAGUGGCGAAGGCGGCCUUCUGGACUGACACUGACGCUGAGGUGCGAAAGCGUGGGUAGCAAACAGGAUUAGAUACCCGAGUAGUC
Molecule: ribosomal RNA, 465 nt
Filed under: Vreelandella stevensii
Lineage: Bacteria; Pseudomonadati; Pseudomonadota; Gammaproteobacteria; Oceanospirillales; Halomonadaceae
Description: partial 16S ribosomal RNA
Rfam family: Bacterial small subunit ribosomal RNA
Source: RNAcentral